UAAGGAAUAUUGCGCAAUGGGCGAAAGCCUGACGCAGCGACGCCGCGUGGGGGAUGAAGGUCUUCGGAUUGUAAACCCCUUUCGGGAGGGAAGAUGGAAUGGGGUAACCCAUUCGGACGGUACCUCCAGAAGCAGCCACGGCUAACUUCGUGCCAGCAGCCGCGGUAAUACGAAGGUGGCAAGCGUUAUUCGGAUUUACUGGGCGUACAGGGAGCGUAGGCGGUUCGGUAAGCCCUCUGUGAAAUCUUCAGGCUUAACCUGGAAAAGUCGGAGGGGACUGCUGGGCUAGAGGACGGGAGAGGAGCGCGGAAUUCCCGGUGUAGCGGUGAAAUGCGUAGAGAUCGGGAGGAAGGCCGGUGGCGAAGGCGGCGCUCUGGAACGUUUCUGACGCUGAGGCUCGAAAGCGUGGGGAGCAAACAGGAUU
Molecule: ribosomal RNA, 424 nt
Filed under: uncultured bacterium
Lineage: Bacteria
Description: bacterial SSU rRNA
Rfam family: Bacterial small subunit ribosomal RNA
Source: RNAcentral